GGAAAUCCCUCCUCUUGUCUUGAAGACUCGGCCAUGAUCGCAGAACCGUCCUGCUCUUCAUCAGCUCUGAGAGCAAAGAAGACUGCUUCACGUUUAAUCUUCAACACAAAGAUGUACAGCUGAAGAUGGAAACUUUGAUCUAUGAUUGGUUCACCUGAUAAUAUGUCAGGUCACCACUGCAUACUACAGCAGGCCAAAUGUUGGUUUUCGCCAUGUGGACCUUAAGCUGCUUCAGAUGUCAUGCUGUGGUCAGGAGAUGCACCAGAUGUAAUCCUUUUACAGUCCUGUGCUGAUCAGGAGACGAGCCGUUUGAGCAGCGGUGGAACACAAACACACAUGGUUUUUGCUUCAUCUCAUCUGUGAGCCAAUUGACCAGUGUGUCUGUGGGGAAGCCUCGUUUGAAAGUGUUGCUGGAGCUGAUGGAUCUUCAUCUGGAGGAUGUCUAAAGUUUAUUUGUCAAUUCUUUUUAUUUAAUGCCUUCCAUUAAUAAAACCUGUCUGCAAUAAAAAUGUCUAGACUGGAUCUUUUGAUAGU
Chelmon rostratus (copperband butterflyfish) is the source of this 534-nucleotide long non-coding RNA. RefSeq lists it as uncharacterized. Lineage: Eukaryota; Metazoa; Chordata; Actinopteri; Chaetodontiformes; Chaetodontidae. The record is from RefSeq and is a predicted model, not a curated record. The transcript has 7 exons.